This 233-nucleotide long non-coding RNA is filed under the name Elaeis guineensis (African oil palm). RNAcentral's name for it is "long non-coding RNA (EGUI_LNC037090)". Lineage: Eukaryota; Viridiplantae; Streptophyta; Magnoliopsida; Arecales; Arecaceae. The record is from RNAcentral.
GUUUGAGCCUGAUUUGCUUGAGUUAACCCUUUUGGACCAAUUGACCUAUUAGUAUCUAAGGCAAAUAAUUGAGAUGUGAUUAUUUAAUUGAUUUCGUUCGCUGACUUGAUCAAUUUAUUGGUUUCUAAGGAAAGCAAUGGGAGGACCCCCACUGAUCUCAACUAACCUGACCAAUUUGAAAGAUUGAGUCUUCAAUUGGGUUACUUGGCAUUUUUGGUUUAGCCCAUGCCAAU